Molecule: ribosomal RNA, 684 nt
Filed under: Triticum aestivum (bread wheat)
Lineage: Eukaryota; Viridiplantae; Streptophyta; Magnoliopsida; Poales; Poaceae
Description: partial small subunit ribosomal RNA
Source: RNAcentral
AUGUGUGGGAACCUGUCAUCUAUUUCUUCAAACUUCUGGUGGGGUGAAGCAGAUGGUCACAAGAAGGUGCAUUGGAUUGGGUGGGAGAAGAUGUGCACGCGAAAGCACGAAGGAGGCUUGGGUUUUAGGGACCCCGAAGCGUUUAACCAAGCUAUGGUUGCCAAAGCAGCGUGGUGCUUGUUUCAGGUGCCAAACUCGAUGUGUGGACGGGUUCCGAAGGCACGGUAUUUUCCCGAUGGGUCGAUUCUGAAUGCUACGUGUCCUUCUGGGGGAUCAUACACAUUCUGAAGCAUUUUGCAUGGUCGUGACCUACUUACUGAUGGUUUGAUCUGGCGCAUUGGUGAUGGCUCGCGAGUUCUGAUCCACCAUGAUAAUUGGCUCCCGAGGAGAGGUAGCCUGAGGCCACUGGGCCAAAGCUACAUCGACGACAUUACUCGCGUGAGGGAUCUGCUCGAAGCCGAUGGCAUCUCAUGGGAUAGAAAUAAGGUGCAGGACAUGUUUGCUCUGGAGGAAGUCCAAGAAAUUCUUCAAAUACCAGUCGGGGGCGGGGGUGCAAGACUACCAAGCUUGGAACUAUACCAGGAAUGGUAUCUUCUUGGUCCACUCGGCGUACCAUCUACGCAUGAGCCAGAAGCGGGUGAGAUCCGGACGGCCAUACUCUUCAUCCUCGGUGGUGGAUCAUAA